ACCGUCCUGAUGUGUUCGUCGGGUCACCCAUCGUUUUGACCGAACAGUCGAUGAUCCGGGAGCCCGGGGUUUCCAAGCGGCGUGCAUGCCUCUUCGUUGCAGGGGGAAGCGCAAACCUUGGAACAGGGCACCCACCUAUGUGGGAGCGGGUUCAAAACGAAGGCAUCGACGGCACGAUUGGGACUGGU
Molecule: non-coding RNA, 188 nt
Filed under: Geobacillus thermodenitrificans
Lineage: Bacteria; Bacillati; Bacillota; Bacilli; Caryophanales; Anoxybacillaceae
Also listed under: 4 other names
Description: 6S RNA
Rfam family: 6S / SsrS RNA
About the family: E. coli 6S RNA was the first non coding RNA to be sequenced, but its function was unknown until recently. It consists of 184 nucleotides that fold into an extended hairpin structure with a large single-stranded internal bulge. The 6S RNA specifically associates with RNA polymerase holoenzyme containing the sigma70 specificity factor.
Source: RNAcentral